GGCCUAACACAUGCAAGUCGAGCGGAAACGAGUUAUCUGAACCUUCGGGGAACGAUAACGGCGUCGAGCGGCGGACGGGUGAGUAAUGCCUAGGAAAUUGCCCUGAUGUGGGGGAUAACCAUUGGAAACGAUGGCUAAUACCGCAUAAUGCCUACGGGCCAAAGAGGGGGACCUUCGGGCCUCUCGCGUCAGGAUAUGCCUAGGUGGGAUUAGCUAGUUGGUGAGGUAAGGGCUCACCAAGGCGACGAUCCCUAGCUGGUCUGAGAGGAUGAUCAGCCACACUGGAACUGAGACACGGUCCAGACUCCUACGGGAGGCAGCAGUGGGGAAUAUUGCACAAUGGGCGCAAGCCUGAUGCAGCCAUGCCGCGUGUGUGAAGAAGGCCUUCGGGUUGUAAAGCACUUUCAGUCGUGAGGAAGGUAGUGUAGUUAAUAGCUGCAUUAUUUGACGUUAGCGACAGAAGAAGCACCGGCUAACUCCGUGCCAGCAGCCGCGGUAAUACGGAGGGUGCGAGCGUUAAUCGGAAUUACUGGGCGUAAAGCGCAUGCAGGUGGUUUGUUAAGUCAGAUGUGAAAGCCCGGGGCUCAACCUCGGAAUUGCAUUUGAAACUGGCAGACUAGAGUACUGUAGAGGGGGGUAGAAUUUCAGGUGUAGCGGUGAAAUGCGUAGAGAUCUGAAGGAAUACCGGUGGCGAAGGCGGCCCCCUGGACAGAUACUGACACUCAGAUGCGAAAGCGUGGGGAGCAAACAGGAUUAGAUACCCUGGUAGUCCACGCCGUAAACGAUGUCUACUUGGAGGUUGUGGCCUUGAGCCGUGGCUUUCGGAGCUAACGCGUUAAGUAGACCGCCUGGGGAGUACGGUCGCAAGAUUAAAACUCAAAUGA
Molecule: ribosomal RNA, 884 nt
Filed under: Vibrio sp. PP-96
Lineage: Bacteria; Pseudomonadati; Pseudomonadota; Gammaproteobacteria; Vibrionales; Vibrionaceae
Description: bacterial SSU rRNA
Rfam family: Bacterial small subunit ribosomal RNA
Source: RNAcentral